Molecule: unclassified non-coding RNA, 3562 nt
Filed under: Leishmania donovani
Lineage: Eukaryota; Euglenozoa; Kinetoplastea; Trypanosomatida; Trypanosomatidae
Description: gene:unknown
Source: RNAcentral
GGCUCUCGCCGGGACAUGCACGCCGCGCGUACUCCAACAUCGCCAUUAUCGACGUUGCGUCCCCCCCCCGCACCCCUCAUCUCAAGCUCGAUCCUUCACACUCUGUGUAUGCGUGCAAGCCUGCCAUCAUGCCCUUCUCCAACGUCUCCGCGGAGGCGGCGCGUGCUCUGUGCGAGCUCUCCGAAGGGCGGCAGGUGUCUUGCAAGACAACGGCCUCUGCGAGCAGCAGCACCGUCCACACAGAGAGCGAAAGCAGUGCGGGCAUCGACACCCUCUUCCUCGAUGCGGUGGUGGGCGUCGUCGAGGCGGUGCUCAUGCGCUACGCGUUGACGCGCGUGUGCGACACGGCCACGACCGCCAUGAGGUCGACGGAAAAUGGCAAGCGCAAUCAAGUGAACGUCGGUAUCAGCGGUGGCGCGCCGACAGUGGAACGGCCGUACCCGUUCCCGUCGCUGUUUCUGCACACGCCUCGAGCGUACGUGCACCUUCACCGAGGACGCACCCAUGCAUGUGGCUGCUCACCAUCACCCGCGAGCGAGGGGGUGGAUGCGGCACGCGACGAGCCCUGUGCUGACGACUCGCUUUCCCUCAGCAAUGCCCACUGCACACCUGGCAUGCCACCUACGUCUCUCCUGUACAAGAACGCGUCUGUCAGCACAGCCUCACACGCAACAACGCACGAGCAAGCCGCUGUGCACAGCGCGAAGGACUGCCGGAUGCAGCCGGCGCCGUUACCGUAUGACAGCCUUGCUCGGUUCCCGCCGCAGCUUCAUCGCAACACAUCCGCCGUGCUGCACAACCCGGCCUUGGACAACGCGCGCCGGAUGGUGAACGUGUCGCUCACGCCAGAGCCGAUCGGGAGGGCAGAAUUGGUGGCCGCGAGUGACAAGUCUGCGCCCCCGUCGUCGUCGUCGGUGCAGGAGAUGGUGCAGGUGGUGUUACAAGGCGAGGCCGCCGUGGUCGUCACCACCACCGUCUCCUCAUCUGACGGUGCCGCCGCGGCUACAUGGUUCUCUACAGGCCUCCAACCGGCGUCCAUGACGGAGACCAGGAACUGCUGCGUAGCCGAGGAACGCACGCUGCAACCUGCAGCACCGGACACAGCAGCUCUCAGCGAGGCACCGCUGCUUUUCAGCCCCGACGCAACGUCGUGCGCGUUGGUCGCGUGUCGAGUGGCACUGCAUGAAGGGUGGCAGUCGCUGAUAGCCCGCUCUGCUGCAGCUGCGACAGCUGUUGUUGAUGUCUCUCCGCAAGCAACGGGCACCGUCGCAGGCGCGAGUCGUUUUUUGAGUGCGUGUGGACGCACCGCUUCUGCUGCCAUGGCUCACCUCGACCGUGAGGAGGGUGUCGCGGAGAUGCUGCGCCAGCUCGUGUGGGAAAGCGCCGUGCCCGCCGUCCUUCACGCGGUGCACCAACACUACGCGACGUGCGUGACCGCCGCCAGCGUUCGAGGAAGCCAUGAAGACAGCGACGACACGGCCUCCUGUACGGCUGCCGUCAUGGUGCUGAAGGACACGCUGGCGCGCUUGUGGUGUGCGGUGGCGCCGCCGGCAAACCCCGCGUCCACGCCGCCUCCGCCCUUGCUUCAGGUAGACUGGUACGUGGUGGGCGCCAUCCGCAUGCACAAUAGCGCCGCGCCGGUGCUGGCGAACGUGUUCCGGCAGUUUUUCGCCGCCUCGCCCGUGCCCACGCCCACCAUUCCGCACCUUCUUGCAGAGGAAGUUCAUCUCAACACGUCUCACCCGCAGAUCACGAGCUCGACCACCGCGACGACCUCGUGCACGCUCAACGUCGCCCACCGCCUCCGCGAGGAUGGUUUGUGUUUCUGGUCCUUCAACACCACCUUCCAGCCCUGGUGCGUCGAGCCGGAUGGUCGGCGGCUUUAUGCCUACCCCAUCACAUGGGGGUUGUUGCUGAGCGUGGCGACGGGGCACAGCUGGCCCGCCACCGUGCACCCCGGCACCCGCGCGUACCCACUUCGCGAAAUUCGAUCUCUCUCCGUGGAAAACGGCUACCAAUGGGUGACACCACUGUCCUCCGAUGCGCUGUACGGUACGCGCCGUGCAUCGACUGAUGUCGGGCGCGCAGGCGGGCUGCAGCUCGCAUGCAACAUCGUGCCCUCCACUACUGUCGCGCAGCGCGUGAACAAGAGUGCGGCGUCGACGCUGCCGUCGCUGCGGCUGUGGUCCGCGCUAGACGCCCUCGCCACACCAUCCAGCGGCGCGGAGCGUGAUCGAAAGGCAGUCUCACGGCAAGAGACGACGACUCCGACUACCAAGUCGGUGACGGUCACCGUCCACUCCCCGGCGGCGACGGCCACGGUGACCUUGGCCUCGUACGUGCGGACGCUGCUGAGCCGGCAGGAGUCAUGGUGGGCGCGGGUACGGCGUUGCCAGAUGGCGCCAUCCGAAGCUGGCGCGUUGGCCGUGCAGGUGCCGCCGACGGCUUCAUCGGCACACAAGCGGGUUCUCCCGUUGCUACUGCGGCGCCGCGCCUCGUUUGCCAGGCCGUCUCCUGCACAACGGCAUCAGCAAUAUGACGAGGAGGACGGCAGGGGCAACGACGACGACGACAAUAGAGACCCCCUCGUGCACUGGAGCGGCGUUGAUGCGACGGUGGUGCGCACGCUGCUUUCACGCCCGCGAGAGAGCCUCCUGCAGGGUUCCACCACCCCGCACUGUGAGCCGCCAGACUUCUGCGACCAAGCUCGCGACGGGCUCCUGUGGCGCGCGAGCGUGCGGCCUGCAGAUGUCUUUGUCGAGGGCACGGACGGUCUAUACAUUGAGUGACAGAGCGUCGUGAAGGCAGGUGGGAGAAGGCUUCGCACGCGCCUUUCCGCGUGUGGCUCCCGCGCCUCCCCUCCCUCGCUUUCUCGAGCACGCGAUCCUUUCCACCCAGAUACGCUGCGCCUCUCUUCUGUCACCCACCGCCUUUCUGCUCUGCCGUCGAGGGGAGAACACCCUUCUCAGCGCGUGGUAUUCCAAGUUCCGGUGCGCCCCCACCCCCCACUCUGUGAGUGCGUGGGAGGAAGCCAGGCAGAGCCCCUCCCCCCAUCCCUGCCACCAUUCCCCCAUUGCCGCAUCACCCUUCACCACGACAGGGUCAAGUCCUAGAUGGCGCUGCGCAAACGCUUGCCGCGACAGUGCGCGCGUCUGUGCCACCCAUGUGCUGGGCAGGGCGCCCGCGUGGGUCGUGUGUGUCUCCCUCGGGCCCCCGCUGUCCACCGGUGGGUGGCCCCGAGGCGACCUGCGAGGCGGAGGGGUGGGAGGGCAGAGUGUGAGGGGCAGGGGGGCCGCGCGCUCAGCCGACCGAGUCGGCGCACGGCCGUCAUACGCGGAAAGACCCCUAAGGCACCGUAAUCGCCGUUGGGAGGGAGGAGCCACACGGCUUUGUGAGCACGUGGAUGGAUGUAAGGAUUCCUACUGCUUGUUCCGCAGCCCAUUAAGCACCCUCCCGUCCCGCGCUCUCCCUUGCAGAGCUCAUGCGUGUACUCACGCAAGCAUCAUCAUCAUCUCCUCGCCCUCUCUCCCUCCUCCUUCCUUCUCUUUCCUGCUCCGUGCAG